Long non-coding RNA from Physella acuta, 877 nucleotides. RefSeq lists it as uncharacterized. The record is from RefSeq and is a predicted model, not a curated record. Lineage: Eukaryota; Metazoa; Mollusca; Gastropoda; Physidae.
UUGGAAGUCUUUGCAUUGACCUUAGUUUUCAGAUGUAGCAGCCUAAUUUUUAUCAGAUUAUACCAUAAAAUCAAAAGUAGACUUGUAGAUCUUUUUAAAACAAGGCAUGAAAUAUUAAUUUAAAUAAUAUAAAUUAAACAAAUAGCCUAAAUAACAACUACACAAAGUUAAAGUCAUAAUAACUUUUUAUAAAGGUAUCUUGAAUUUCAACUGGAGGUAGUUUUGAUAAAUAUUAGUAUUCUGAACAUUAAAAUAGGUAGACUUAACAUACAUUUGUUCUGAAAACAUAUUUAGAAAUUGGUUUUAAAAAAUGAGGUUAGGAUUGGGGUGAUAACUAGUUGAGGAUUAGAUAUGAUAUUCAUUGUGUUUAUCCAUGUUGUAAUUUCUCUUUUACAGGUUCAUCCAAAAAAAAGGGAAGAUCUGAUUUUUACCAGUAAUAAGACUACAGCAUACUAAAUGACACAAGAUGUUCUUUCUCUAUUACCUCUUACAUUUGACAUAAAAGUAGGAAAAGGUUUAACAGUCUAUGCCUACAACAUAGAUCUCCAGGACUAAAAGUACACAAAAUGGCAAUCAGUAUAUCACAAGUGUAAUAACACAUGCAUCUAAUCUGCCUCAGUGGCGAGAACUGGGUGAAUCCUCUCAAACAUUAAUCAGGAACUAGGCAUACCUAAUGAGCGCCAAGCUGAUACAGUAGAUGUACAGAAGAGUUUAUACACAAGGAAGUGAAAAGUGAUGUAAAAGGCAACUAAUACUUCCAUCUACCAUAGUUAAACAAGAAUCUGCAAAUGGUGAUAAUUGCAAUAAUCUUGAUAUAUUAAUGUUUGGCUUUAUAAUUAUAUGCAAUUGUUUCAUAAAUAAAUUAUUUCUCAAAAUU